Molecule: ribosomal RNA, 294 nt
Filed under: Scopalina ruetzleri
Lineage: Eukaryota; Metazoa; Porifera; Demospongiae; Bubarida; Dictyonellidae
Description: partial large subunit ribosomal RNA
Rfam family: Eukaryotic large subunit ribosomal RNA
Source: RNAcentral
CCAAGGAGUGCAACACGCCCGCGAGUCUUUGGGUGGCAAACCCGCCGGCGAAAUGAAAGUGAAGGCGCCCUCGGGUCGCGGCGAGACCGAGAAAGGCGGUGCAUCGUCGACCGAUCCUAUCCACGCCGUGGGGGAUUCGAGUUAGAGCGUGCCUGUUGCGACCCGAAAGAUGGUGAACUAUGCCUGAAUAGGGUGAAGCCAGAGGAAACUCUGGUGGAAGCUCGUAGCGAUUCUGACGUGCAAAUCGAUCGUCAAAUUUGGGUAUAGGGGCGAAAGACUAAUCGAACCAUCUAG